Molecule: long non-coding RNA, 1469 nt
Filed under: Homo sapiens (human)
Lineage: Eukaryota; Metazoa; Chordata; Mammalia; Primates; Hominidae
Description: HSALNT0132028
Source: RNAcentral
CUCCUGCCUGGGACAAGCGGAGCUGACUCAUUCUGAAGAUGACUCUGCAAGCAUGGAGUUCAUUCCAGAGGAGGUUAGAAUCACUCAGCAUGAAGAGAGGGUGUAACAGGAUGUUGUCUCUGCUGAGGAAGUGGGGCUGCCACCCGAUGGAUUGGAUGGAUUGUCGGUCAUCCCCGCAGGAGAGGCUGGGCCAGGUUGUGGUGCGUCCAACCCCCAGCCCUCUGGGCAGACCGGUUGUGAUCUAAGUCAUUUCAAGGGUUUCUCAAUGGACCGAUUGCCAGAGGUUGGGGUGUCAAGAAUUUGGGGUAUCAAGGUUAAGUACAAAACAUGGAUCUUUGUCUGACAAGACAGGCUGGCCGCUGACUGUUAAAUACUUCCCCACAAAAGGGACAAGCCCGGAGCCAGGUUACCGGCCCACACCGCAAGACAGGCUUUCUUUUAGGAAAUGGACAAAGCUCUAUGACCAGAACAAGCACUUUGGGGAAUUUAAAUUUGCUUUCCCUGACACGACUCCACUUUCAUCACUACCCCUGAACUUAAGGGGCAUCCAAACCUCAGUCUCAGCAGGUUUGUUUUGUGUCUGUGUGUGUCUGUAUGUGUGUUCGUGUGUGUCUGUAUGUGUAUCUGUGUGUGUGUGUCUGUGUGUGUCUCUGUGUGUCUGUGUGUGUGUCUGUGUGUGUCUGUGUAUGUCUCUGUGUGUCUGUGUGUGUGUCUGUGUGUGUGUGUCUGUGUAUGUCUCUGUGUGUCUGUGUCUGUGUCUGUGUGUGUCUCUGUGUGUGUGUGUGUUUUGAAACACGGUCUUGCUCUGUCGCCCAAGCUGGAGGGCAAUGGUGCAAUCACGGCUCACUGCAGCGUUGACUUCCUAGGCUCAAGCGAUCCUCCCAUCUCAGCCUCCUGAAUAGCUGGCACCACAGGUGGGAGCCACCACUUCUAGCUAAUUUUUGUAUUUUUUGUAGAAAUAGAGUCUUUCUAUGUUGCCCAGGAUGGUCUUGAACUCCUAGGGUCAGGCAAUCCUCCUGCCUCAGCCUCCCAUGGUGUUGGGAUUACAGGCGUGAGCCACCAUGCACAGCCAGCAUAUUUCUUAACAUCAGAUUUUUUUUUUUUUUUGAGACGGAGUUUCACUCUUGUUGCCCAGGCUGGAGUGCAGGGGUGUGAUCUCGGCUCACUGCAACCUCUACCUCCUGGGUUCAAGCGAUUCUCUUACUUCAGCCUCCUGAGUAGCUGGAACUGCAGACACGUACCACCACGCCCAGCUAAUUUUGUAUUUUUAGUAAAGACGGGGUUUCACCAUGUUGGUCAGGCUGGUCUCGAAUUCCUGACCACAGGUGAUCUGUCUGCCUUGGCCUCCCAAAGUGCUGCGAUUGCAGGCCUCAGCCACCACGCCCAACCAGAUUAUUUAUUUAUUUAUGUAUUUAUGUAUUUAUCUGUUUAUGUAUUUAUUUAUUUAUUUUUCUUUUGAGACGGAGUUU